Molecule: ribosomal RNA, 484 nt
Filed under: uncultured bacterium
Lineage: Bacteria
Description: partial 16S ribosomal RNA
Rfam family: Bacterial small subunit ribosomal RNA
Source: RNAcentral
AUUGAACGCUGGCGGCAUGCUUUACACAUGCAAGUCGAACGGCAGCGCGGGCUUCGGCCUGGCGGCGAGUGGCGAACGGGUGAGUAAUGCAUCGGAACGUGCCCAGUAGUGGGGGAUAGCCCGGCGAAAGCCGGAUUAAUACCGCAUACGACCUGAGGGUGAAAGCGGGGGACCGAAAGGCCCCGCGCUAUUGGAGCGGCCGAUGUCGGAUUAGCUAGUUGGUGGGGUAAAGGCUUACCAAGGCGACGAUCCGUAGCUGGUCUGAGAGGACGACCAGCCACACUGGGACUGAGACACGGCCCAGACUCCUACGGGAGGCAGCAGUGGGGAAUUUUGGACAAUGGGGGCAACCCUGAUCCAGCCAUGCCGCGUGAGGGAAGAAGGCCUUCGGGUUGUAAACCGCUUUUGUUAGGGAAGAAAUCCUCUGGGCUAAUACCCCGGGGGGAUGACGGUACCGGAAGAAUAAGCACCGGCUAACUACGUG